Non-coding RNA from Acanthosepion pharaonis, 93 nucleotides. NCBI's taxonomy places the organism in Eukaryota, Metazoa, Mollusca, Cephalopoda, Sepiida, Sepiidae. The record is from the annotation of a GenBank genome assembly.
UUCUCCUGUUCCCAUAUAGUCACUGAAGUUAAGCAACAUCAAGCCUGGAUAGUACCUAGAUGGGUGACCACUGGGGAGUACCAGGUGCUGUAA